RNAcentral lists this ribosomal RNA (569 nucleotides) under uncultured Gammaproteobacteria bacterium. RNAcentral's name for it is "bacterial SSU rRNA". It matches the Rfam family "Bacterial small subunit ribosomal RNA", at positions 812 to 1381 of the family's 1533-position model. The record is from RNAcentral. Lineage: Bacteria; Pseudomonadati; Pseudomonadota; Gammaproteobacteria.
UCGAUUUGGAGUUUGUUGCCUAGAGUGAUGGGCUCCGAAGCUAACGCGAUAAAUCGACCGCCUGGGGAGUACGGCCGCAAGGUUAAAACUCAAAUGAAUUGACGGGGGCCCGCACAAGCGGUGGAGCAUGUGGUUUAAUUCGAUGCAACGCGAAGAACCUUACCUGGUCUUGACAUCCACAGAAUCUUUCAGAGAUGAGGGAGUGCCUUCGGGAACUGUGAGACAGGUGCUGCAUGGCUGUCGUCAGCUCGUGUUGUGAAAUGUUGGGUUAAGUCCCGCAACGAGCGCAACCCUUAUCCUUUGUUGCCAGCGAUUAGGUCGGGAACUCAAAGGAGACUGCCGUUGAUAAAACGGAGGAAGGUGGGGACGACGUCAAGUCAUCAUGGCCCUUACGACCAGGGCUACACACGUGCUACAAUGGCGUAUACAAAGGGAAGCGAAGGUGCGAGCUGGAGCGGACCUCCCAAAGUACGUCUAAGUCCGGAUUGGAGUCUGCAACUCGACUCCAUGAAGUCGGAAUCGCUAGUAAUCGUGAAUCAGAAUGUCACGGUGAAUACGUUCCCGGGCCU